ACUCCUACGGGAGGCAGCAGUGGGGAAUAUUGGACAAUGGGGGGAACCCUGAUCCAGCCAUGCCGCNGUGUGUGAAGAAGGCCUUAUGGUUGUAAAGCACUUUAAGCGAGGAGGAGGCUACUGAGACUAAUACUCUUGGAUAGUGGACGUUACUCGCAGAAUAAGCACCGGCUAACUNC
This 179-nucleotide ribosomal RNA is filed under the name uncultured Gammaproteobacteria bacterium. RNAcentral describes it as "partial 16S ribosomal RNA". It matches the Rfam family "Bacterial small subunit ribosomal RNA", at positions 335 to 504 of the family's 1533-position model. Lineage: Bacteria; Pseudomonadati; Pseudomonadota; Gammaproteobacteria. The record is from RNAcentral.